CGGCAGCACGGGAGCUUGCUCCUGGUGGCGAGUGGCGAACGGGUGAGUAAUGCGUCGGAACGUACCGAGUAAUGGGGGAUAACGCAGCGAAAGUUGUGCUAAUACCGCAUACGCCCUGAGGGGGAAAGCGGGGGAUCGUAAGACCUCGCGUUAUUCGAGCGGCCGACGUCUGAUUAGCUAGUUGGUGGGGUAAAGGCCUACCAAGGCGACGAUCAGUAGCGGGUCUGAGAGGAUGAUCCGCCACACUGGGACUGAGACACGGCCCAGACUCCUACGGGAGGCAGCAGUGGGGAAUUUUGGACAAUGGGGGCAACCCUGAUCCAGCCAUUCCGCGUGAGUGAAGAAGGCCUUCGGGUUGUAAAGCUCUUUCAGCUGGAGUGAAACGGUGAGCUCUAACAUAGCUUGCUAAUGACGGUACCAGCAGAAGAAGCACCGGCUAACUACGUGCCAGCAGCCGCGGUAAUACGUAGGGUGCGAGCGUUAAUCGGAAUUACUGGGCGUAAAGCGUGCGCAGGCGGAUUGUUAAGCAAGACGUGAAAUCCCCGGGCUUAACCUGGGAAUGGCGUUUUGAACUGGCAGUCUAGAGUGCGUCAGAGGGGGGUGGAAUUCCACGUGUAGCAGUGAAAUGCGUAGAGAUGUGGAGGAACACCGAUGGCGAAGGCAGCCCCCUGGGAUGACACUGACGCUCAUGUACG
RNAcentral lists this ribosomal RNA (695 nucleotides) under uncultured bacterium. RNAcentral's name for it is "bacterial SSU rRNA". It matches the Rfam family "Bacterial small subunit ribosomal RNA", at positions 67 to 755 of the family's 1533-position model. The record is from RNAcentral.